CUUACUUUACAGACAGAUAUCAAUACGUCCAUUUAAAUGGGAAAUCGUCAAAUCUUAUGCAAGUAAAUUAUGGAUUACCUCAGGGAUCGGUUUUAGGACCCUUGCUUUUCACCAUAUACAUGCUGCCCCUCGGCAACAUUAUUAGAAAACAUGGAAUUAGCUUCCACUGUUAUGCAGAUGAUACUCAGCUAUAUAUCUCAUCAAGACCAGAUGAUUCCUUUAAGCUAUCCAAACUGGCAGAGUGCAUCGAGGACAUAAAACAUUGGAUGACUAGUAAUUUCCUCCUUUUAAACUCUAGCAAAAGAGAAAUAUUACUUAUAGCACCAAAAUCAAGUAAACAGAAUAUCUCCGAUUACAGCCUGCAAAUUGAAAGCUGCACUGUUACUCCAACAAAUACAGUUAAAGACCUAGGCGUUAUAUUAGACGGCAACCUGUCAUUUAAAAAUCACAUCUCAAAUAUCACAAAAACAGCCUUCUUCCACCUUAGAAAUGUUGCCAAAUUACGAAAUAGUUUGUGUGUUGCAGACGCAGAAAAGCUUAUUCAUGCAUUUGUGAUCUCAUGGCUUGACUAUUGUAAUGCUCUACUUAGUGGUUGUCCUGUAUCAUCGAUAAACAAACUACAGUUAGUUCAGAAUGCAGCUGCCAGAGUUCUUACUAGGUCAAGAAAAUACGAUCACAUAACCCCAGUUUUAUCAUCGCUGGCUACCCAUUAAGUUAUCAUAUGAUUUUAAAAUUCUUUUAACUACUUACAAAGCCCUGAACGGUUUAGCACCUACUUACUUAACCGAGCUUUUAUCACGUUACAACCCAUCACGCUCUCUAAGAUCUCAAAAUUUAGGACUUUUGAUAACACCUAGAAUAACUAAAUCCACCAAAGGGGGUCGAGCUUUCUCAUACGUAGCACCUAAACUCUGGAAUAGCCUUCCUGAUACUAUUCGAGGGUCAGACACACUCUCCCAAUUUAAAUCUAGAUUAAAGACACAUCUUUUCAGCCAAGCCUUCACUUAAUGCAUAAUUAAUGAACAGCAGCUACGCUAAUCAUUCUCAUUUUUUCUUGCCGCCUCUGCCUCGGGAUGCCCAUCCCGAGGUAGGAAGAAGUUCCACCAUGUCCAGACGACCGACAGAUGCCCAUCCCCAAUUUGAGAUUACGCCAGCUACAGCUGCAGACUGACUGACCAUCCCAGCUCCAUCUAAGGCAAUUCCACCACCAGCCAAGAGAAAUAUGACCAUCGGACCAUCCAAGCUCAGACCACUACAUCCCCAACCAAGAGCAAAGACGGACUAUUUGUCUUAUUAAUGCUGAAGUUACAAUAUUUGUAUUUCUUUCUUCCAAAACGAAGUACUCUCUACACUCCAGAUCAAUUGGUGACGGUAAUGUACCUUUUCGUGGGUUUGCCAAACCGCCAUAAAAACACUAGAAGAAGAUCAUAACCGUUAUCUGCUAAUCCCGGACAAAGUAGGCCUACACAGUUGCAACAGUGCUUUGCCUCUUGCAUCAAGACAUCCACUGUAUGGAUUGCUGGACAUGUUUAAGGAAAGGAUCUCUGCAAGAGACAACACACACGAUGUUGACUACAUCCUCAGCCACGUUUCUCCUGAAAUUACUGCAAGAGAGAAUUCAACUGCUUUGGUAAAGCGGAA
Triplophysa dalaica is the source of this 1641-nucleotide long non-coding RNA. RefSeq lists it as uncharacterized. Lineage: Eukaryota; Metazoa; Chordata; Actinopteri; Cypriniformes; Nemacheilidae. The record is from RefSeq and is a predicted model, not a curated record. The transcript is spliced from 4 exons.